This 774-nucleotide ribosomal RNA is filed under the name uncultured Neocallimastigales. RNAcentral describes it as "partial large subunit ribosomal RNA". It matches the Rfam family "Eukaryotic large subunit ribosomal RNA", at positions 20 to 649 of the family's 3401-position model. Lineage: Eukaryota; Fungi; Neocallimastigomycota; Neocallimastigomycetes; Neocallimastigales. The record is from RNAcentral.
UACUAGAGUAGCACUCGCAUAUCAAUAAGCGGAGGAAAAGAAACUAACAAGGAUUCCCCUAGUAACGGCGAGUGAAGCGGGAAGAGCUCAAAUUUGAAAUCUUAAAGGGUUUCCCUUUACGAAUUGUAGUUUAAAGAAGUGUUUUCUGUUGAGGUUUUGGUAAAAGUUCUUUGGAAUAGGACAUCAUAGAGGGUGAGAAUCCCGUAUUUGACCUUUACUUUCAACUUUGUGAUACACUUUCAAAGAGUCGGAUUGUUUGGGAAUGCAGUCCAAAAUGGGUGGUAAAUUUCAUCUGAAGCUAAAUAUUGGCGAGAGACCGAUAGCGAACAAGUACCGUGAGGGAAAGAUGAAAAGAACUUUGAAAAGAGAGUUAAACAGUACGUGAAAUUGUCAAAAGGGAAGCGUUUGACACCAGUGUUGUUUUUCUGAAAAUCAAUUAAAGAACUGUUUAUGCUAAGUUGUUUAGACUUUAUCAGCUAACUGUUUAGUUUUGAGCUUUUCUUUAAUGCACUUUUCAGUUAACAAGUCAACAUCAAUUUCUUUUGCUGUAAAAAAGCUUGAGGAAGGUGGCUUGAGAUUCGUCUUAAGUGUUUAUAGCCUCUUGCCUAUGCAGUCGGAGAGAUUGAGGUCUGCAGCGUAGAUCCUUCGGGGCUAAAUGCAUUUGUGCUAAGUUAUAGCAUUUUAUAGACAACUUGUUGACUAUGAUUUGUCUUGUAGCUUACUCGCUUAUGUUAUUUUACCUACGCUUAGGAUGUUGAGUAGCGACAUACGCAC